This 166-nucleotide ribosomal RNA is filed under the name uncultured bacterium. RNAcentral's name for it is "partial 16S rRNA". It matches the Rfam family "Bacterial small subunit ribosomal RNA", at positions 355 to 512 of the family's 1533-position model. The record is from RNAcentral.
UAGGGAAUCUUCGGCAAUGGACGAAAGUCUGACCGAGCAACGCCGCGUGAGUGAAGAAGGUUUUCGGAUCGUAAAACUCUGUUGGUAGAGAAGAACGUUGGUGAGAGUGGAAAGCUCAUCAAGUGACGGUAACUACCCAGAAAGGGACGGCUAACUACGUGCCAAA